RNAcentral lists this long non-coding RNA (219 nucleotides) under Elaeis guineensis (African oil palm). Its description in RNAcentral is "long non-coding RNA (EGUI_LNC058810)". The record is from RNAcentral. Lineage: Eukaryota; Viridiplantae; Streptophyta; Magnoliopsida; Arecales; Arecaceae.
UAGAUACCCAUAAUGAAGACACUCUUCACCUUCUUCUCCUAGAAGAUACUAAAGAAGGAACUCAGGAGACUUAGAAGGAUUAAAUCUUAGAUUAACUCACUAUCCAUGAUAUUGACUUAAUCACAUGAUUAAGUUAAUCAGGAUAUAUUUGACAGUCAUAUUGUCACCCCACCAUAUCUUAUAUGUGGUAUUUCCUUCUAUAUAGUAUCAACUCCAAUC